RNAcentral lists this ribosomal RNA (253 nucleotides) under uncultured bacterium. RNAcentral's name for it is "partial 16S ribosomal RNA". It matches the Rfam family "Bacterial small subunit ribosomal RNA", at positions 524 to 776 of the family's 1533-position model. The record is from RNAcentral.
UACGGAGGGUGCAAGCGUUGUCCGGAUUUAUUGGGCUUAAAGGGUGCGUAGGCGGCUUUUUAAGUCAGUGGUGAAAGCCAACAGCUCAACUGUUGCAGUGCCAUUGAUACUGAAGAGCUUGAGUACAGAUGAGGUAGGCGGAAUUUAUGGUGUAGCGGUGAAAUGCAUAGAUACCAUAAAGAACACCUAUUGCGAAGGCAGCUUACUAAGCUGUAACUGACGCUGAGGCACGAAAGUGUGGGGAUCAAACAGG